This 497-nucleotide ribosomal RNA is filed under the name uncultured bacterium. RNAcentral's name for it is "partial 16S ribosomal RNA". It matches the Rfam family "Bacterial small subunit ribosomal RNA", at positions 28 to 507 of the family's 1533-position model. The record is from RNAcentral.
GAUGAACGCUGGCGGCGUGCCUAAUACAUGCAAGUCGAGCGAACAGACGAGGAGCUUGCUCCUCUGACGUUAGCGGCGGACGGGUGAGUAACACGUGGAUAACCUACCUAUAAGACUGGGAUAACUUCGGGAAACCGGAGCUAAUACUGGAUAAUAUAUUGAACCGCAUGGUUCAAUAGUGAAAGACGGUUUUGCUGUCACUUAUAGAUGGAUCCGCGCCGCAUUAGCUAGUUGGUAAGGUAACGGCUUACCAAGGCAACGAUGCGUAGCCGACCUGAGAGGGUGGUCCGGCACAACGGGACCUAGAAACGGGCCCAGAUCCUUAGGGAGGGAGGAGGAGGGAAAUCUUCGGCAGUGGGGAAAGGCCUACCGGGCAAAGCCGCCGUAAGUGAUGAGGGUUUCGGAUCCGAAAACCUUUGUAUUUAGGAAGAACAAAUGUGUAAGUAACUAUGCACGUCUUGACGGUACCUAAUCAGAAAGCCACGGCUAACUACGUG